GACGAACGCUGGCGGCGUGCCUAAUACAUGCAAGUAGAACGCACAGUUUAUACCGUAGCUUGCUACACCAUAGACUGUGAGUUGCGAACGGGUGAGUAACGCGUAGGUAACCUGCCUGGUAGCGGGGGAUAACUAUUGGAAACGAUAGCUAAUACCGCAUAAUAUUAAUUAUUGCAUGAUAGUUGAUUGAAAGAUGCAACUGCAUCACUACCAGAUGGACCUGCGUUGUAUUAGCUAGUAGGUGAGGUAACGGCUCACCUAGGCGACGAUACAUAGCCGACCUGAGAGGGUGAUCGGCCACACUGGGACUGAGACACGGCCCAGACUCCUACGGGAGGCAGCAGUAGGGAAUCUUCGGCAAUGGACGAAAGUCUGACCGAGCAACGCCGCGUGAGUGAAGAAGGUUUUCGGAUCGUAAAGCUCUGUUGUAAGAGAAGAACGGGUGUGAGAGUGGAAAGUUCACACUGUGACGGUAUCUUACCAGAAAGGGACGGCUAACUACGUG
This 505-nucleotide ribosomal RNA is filed under the name uncultured bacterium. RNAcentral describes it as "partial 16S ribosomal RNA". It matches the Rfam family "Bacterial small subunit ribosomal RNA", at positions 28 to 507 of the family's 1533-position model. The record is from RNAcentral.